Molecule: ribosomal RNA, 514 nt
Filed under: uncultured Fusobacterium sp.
Lineage: Bacteria; Fusobacteriati; Fusobacteriota; Fusobacteriia; Fusobacteriales; Fusobacteriaceae
Description: bacterial SSU rRNA
Rfam family: Bacterial small subunit ribosomal RNA
Source: RNAcentral
GUCAGAGAGGUAACGGCUCACCAAGGCGAUGAUGGGAAGCCGGCCUAAGAAGGUGAUCGGCCACAAGGGGACUGAGACACGGCCCUUACUCCUACGGGAGGCAGCAGUGGGGAAUAUUGGACAAUGGACCAAGAGUCUGAUCCAGCAAUUCUGUGUGCACGAUGAAGUUUUUCGGAAUGUAAAGUGCUUUCAGUUGGGAAGAAAAAAAUGACGGUACCAACAGAAGAAGUGACGGCUAAAUACGUGCCAGCAGCCGCGGUAAUACGUAUGUCACAAGCGUUAUCCGGAUUUAUUGGGCGUAAAGCGCGUCUAGGUGGUUAUGUAAGUCUGGUGUGAAAAUGCAGGGCUCAACUCUGUAUUGCGUUGGAAACUGUGUAACUAGAGUACUGGAGAGGUAAGCGGAACUACAAGUGUAGAGGUGAAAUUCGUAGAUAUUUGUAGGAAUGCCGAUGGGGAAGCCAGCUUACUGGACAGAUACUGACGCUGAAGCGCGAAAGCGUGGGUAGCAAACAGG